GAUGAACGCUAGCUACAGGCUUAACUCAUGCAAGUCGAGGGGAAACGAUGAGAGAGCUUGCUCUCUUAGGCGUCGACCGGCGCACGGGUGAGUAACGCGUAUCCAACCUACCCAUUACAGGGGGAUAACCUUGCGAAAGUAAGACUAAUACCCCAUGGCAUUUUAUGGUGGCAUCAUUAUAGGAUUAAAGAUUUAUUGGUAAUGGAUGGGGAUGCGUCUGAUUAGCUUGUUGGCGGGGUAACGGCCCACCAAGGCAACGAUCAGUAGGGGUUCUGAGAGGAAGGUCCCCCACAUUGGAACUGAGACACGGUCCAAACUCCUACGGGAGGCAGCAGUGAGGAAUAUUGGUCAAUGGGCGAGAGCUUGAACCAGCCAAGUAGCGUGCAGGAUGACGGCCCUAUGGGUUGUAAACUGCUUUUAUAGGGGAAUAAAGUGAGCUACGUGUAGUUUAUUGCAUGUACCCUAUGAAUAAGGACCGGCUAAUUCCGUG
This 490-nucleotide ribosomal RNA is filed under the name uncultured bacterium. RNAcentral describes it as "partial 16S ribosomal RNA". It matches the Rfam family "Bacterial small subunit ribosomal RNA", at positions 28 to 507 of the family's 1533-position model. The record is from RNAcentral.